AACGCACCUUGCGCCCCUUGGCAUUCCGAGGGGCACACCUGUUUGAGUGUCGUAAACAUCCUUCAACCUUUCUCCGUUUUCUUGGCGGGGAAAGGCUUGGACUUUGGGGGUUUUUCAUUGCUGGCCUCGUUCGAAGCCGGCUCCUCCUAAAUGGAUUAGUGGGGUCUUCCUUGCUGACCUUCGACGUGAUAAGAUCUUUUCUAUGUCUCUGUCAUCUUGGACCUUGCUUCUAAAACCGUCUCGCAUACAAGACGAUUAUGAACCCUUGACCUCAAAUCGGGUGAGACUACCCACUGAACUUAA
This 303-nucleotide unclassified non-coding RNA is filed under the name uncultured Russulales. RNAcentral's name for it is "sequence contains 5.8S rRNA gene, ITS2, 28S rRNA gene". Lineage: Eukaryota; Fungi; Basidiomycota; Agaricomycetes; Agaricales. The record is from RNAcentral.